This is a long non-coding RNA of Anneissia japonica, 744 nucleotides long. RefSeq lists it as uncharacterized. NCBI's taxonomy places the organism in Eukaryota, Metazoa, Echinodermata, Crinoidea, Comatulida, Comatulidae. The transcript has 4 exons. The record is from RefSeq and is a predicted model, not a curated record.
UAAUAUAAUUUUGACAUUUUGUUUUCAGAAAAUAUUAUGAACGGCAGCGGUAUCACUGUUGAAGAAACAGUGUUUUUUGGCUUAUAUAUAAUCUCGUUGUUAUGCAUUCGCAAUGCAUGUCGUGCAGGGGUCAUUACCAACAAGCUUCUCAGAGAAUUUGACCGAGCUGAAUAUAUUCGAGGAGAAUAUGCAAUAACGGUUUCAAAUCACAAAACCUCUUAUCACGGACCAGCAAUUUUGAUUCUUGAGAAAGACCUCUAUGAAUUAAUGAGAAUGUAUAGAAAACAAGUACAUCCAAUUGUCGGCGCUGCAUUAAGCCAGACAUUUUUUUAAAACUAACAGUGGACAGGAAAUCAGACCAUGUCAAGACUUAACACGACUCUGGCAUAUUUUGGGUGUCAGACAAGAGAAAACAAUCAACUGCACCCACUUCCGUAAGCAGAUUGCUACUAUGUCAUGGCAACAUAACCAUCAAGAGAAAAACCGCAGGCUUAUUGCGGAGUACAUGCACCACUCGAUAAAUACACAAAAUGCAUAUUAUAAAGCCGCGCAACGGCAGGAAGAUGCCAUUGUUGCAAAGCAUCUUCUGAGAAAGAUGAAAGAAACUGUUUCAAAUCAUAAAACCUCUUAUCACGGACCAGCAAUCUUGGUUCUUGAGAAAGACCUCUAUGAAUUAAUGAGAAUGUAUAGAAAACAAGUACAUCCAAUUGUCGGCGCUGCAUUUAGCCAGACAUUUUUCAAAAC